RNAcentral lists this unclassified non-coding RNA (4613 nucleotides) under Hevea brasiliensis (rubber tree). Lineage: Eukaryota; Viridiplantae; Streptophyta; Magnoliopsida; Malpighiales; Euphorbiaceae. The record is from RNAcentral.
UAAUCUUUUACAUCAACAAAGACUGUUGCAGAUGCAACAACAACAUCAUCAACAGCAACUCUUGAAAGCAAUGCCACAGCAACGACCUCAAUUAGCACAGCAAUUUCAACAGCAGAAUUUGCCUCUGAGAUCUCCUGUGAAAGCAGGGUAUGAACCGGGGAUGUGUGCUCGUCGACUCACACAUUACAUGUAUCAGCAACAGCACAGACCUGAAGACAACAAUAUUGAGUUCUGGAGAAAAUUUGUGGCAGAGUUUUUUGCUCCACAUGCAAAAAAGAAGUGGUGUGUUUCUAUGUAUGGAAGUGGCAGGCAAACAACUGGAGUUUUUCCUCAGGACAUAUGGCACUGUGAAAUUUGCAAUCGCAAGCCAGGCCGUGGCUUUGAGGCAACUGUUGAGGUUCUUCCCAGGCUUUUCAAAAUCAAAUAUGAAAGUGGUACCUUGGAAGAACUUCUUUAUGUUGAUAUGCCACGUGAAUAUCAAAACUCAUCUGGUCAAAUUGUCUUGGACUAUGCAAAAGCAAUACAGGAAAGUGUUUUUGAGCAACUUCGUGUUGUUCGGGAUGGUCAGCUACGGAUAGUCUUCUCUCCAGACUUGAAGAUAUGCUCUUGGGAAUUUUGUGCACGGCGCCAUGAAGAGCUUAUCCCUCGAAGAUUGUUAAUACCACAGGUUAGCAGUGAACCAUUUUGCUUAAUGCUACAAAAAAGUUCUUUGUUACUAUUAGUUCCUGAGUAAAAGUUUUAAGAAUGAGGAACCUCUGUCAUAUAAAACUCAGUUGGCUUAUUUGACAUUUUGUAUUUGUUUUGGGGUUAGUUUUUAUUCAAAUUGAUGAUGGAUUUAAUAGUUUUAGAAUUGUCCUGAAAUCCAUGCUCACUACUGUUAUUGCACUGCAGGAAUUUCUCCAAUAGAAAUUAUAGAACAAGAGUAACUCAUUAUCCCUGUAUUGGUAUCUUUGUGUCUAUGAUAAGAUGCAAUUAUCUAGAGGAAGUUUGGCAUAAUUUUUUAGUGAAUAUAUUAGUUAAUGAUAUUUUGAUCUUAAUUGCUAUAACAUGAAUGAGAUUCUCUAUCUACCCAGUUUUUCUUGUCAUUUCUUUUCCUCAAUCUAGAUUCUCUUUGUUCAUAAUUCUAAAUAAUCAUUAAUUAAAUGAGCCUAGGGUUUUUCAUGUUUUAAUGUUCUGAAAAUUCUCUCAAGUAUUUGAUGAAUGUGAAAUAAUGGCUAAUUGCAAGUGAAAUUAAUUGAAUUUUCUAUGGCAUUUGAUGUUAGUUUGAUUAUGUGUUAUAUGUGGGCUCAGUUGACAUCACCCGAUCACCAUAAUGCACUGGUAGUUGUGUACUUGUGUCUCUCAACACGUACAUGGAGUUUUAUUUUUGUAGCAUAAUUGCAAUGCCAAAAAAUAUCUGUUGGCUCAUGUUACUGGAUUGGGAUCAUAUAAAUAAACCAGACAUCAAAAUAUGCUUACUUGGCAAUGAAAGAUUUUUAUCUAUAACUAUUAAAUUACUCUGUAUGUUACCUACACAUGCACAAACUAAGUGAGGAAUAGGAAAGCAAUUAUCUGCCAAGUAAAAUUUUAUUAUUUUGAUGAAAAAGUUAUAUUAUUCUUCUUUAUGUCAUUCUCAGUUGCUUUGACAUUGUUUUCCUCCUUUUCUUCUUACAUAUGAAAAGGGUUAUACUUUAUGAUAUCCAAUAAUAAUACUAGUACAAGCAAUAUAAAAUAAAACCAUAUGAUCUUUCAGUUGAACCUGGACUAUGUUUUGUGCAUUUUAUUUAGAUUGGAUGCAGUAUUGAUGAUGACUAGUUUAUACCUCUUUUUAACAGAAAAUGCAAAGCACCCUUUAAUGUUCUGUUCUUCACCAAACAAACAUUGAGUAGUGUUUAGGUGGAAGUUUUCUGCAAUUCUGCUGUGGCAUUGCAACCGGAAUUUUUAAAUAUUUCUUACUGGCAAAUAUUAUACUUGAAUAUAUAUAUAUAUAUUUUUAUAUUUUGCAGGUCAGUCAGCUUGGUGCUGCAGCUCAAAAAUACCAGGCUGCUUGUCAAAAUGCAUCAUCUAAUUUAUCCGUUCCAGAUUUGCAAAAUAAUUGUAACAUGUUUGUUGCAUCAGCUCGGCAACUUGCAAAAGCUUUGGAAGUGCCAUUGGUGAAUGAUUUAGGAUAUACAAAGAGAUAUGUGAGGUGCCUGCAGGUGAUGUCAUAAAUCCUUUUAUGGUCAAAUGUAGCUUCAUGGAACUUAUGUCGACCAUCAGGUGUUAAAGGCUACAGAUGGUGCAUAUCUUCUGCAUGUAUCUCAGUGACUGGGUGUGCUUUUGGGAUUAAUGUAAAUUUUGGAUUAGAAAUGAUGCCCUUAGUUUGAGAUACUAUAACACUUCCAUUUUCUGUGCUAUGUAUCUCCUUUCUGAUUGGGUUUUAAUUUUUAAAUGUUCCAUUGGUAUUUGAUCUAUAUGCUUUCUCCUGUACUGCCUUUCUUUCACUGAAACAAUAAUUUUCCUUUUAAUCAGCCUCUACAAAGUUGUGAUUUCUGUGUUUUGUUUGUGGAGUCUGUGCAUGUCUCAUUACUAAUAUUUUCUCUUUCCAUAUUCAUAAUGAUAUUUACUGCAGGACUUAAUGAAGGUCAAAGUGUAUGUGAACAUUUUUUCAAAAAAGCAAGGGAAAUCUCAAAUCUCUGUUUAGAUAAUCGUGAUGUCCAAAUGCAUGAUAUUGUAAUAGGUUUCAUGAUUUUCAUUAGCAUCUGGGAAAUAGAUAUUCCUCUAUCUCUUUUGUGCAUAUGCUACUGCCUAGCACUUGCUUCCCUUUAAUUUGGGAUUUCUGAAGUCUCUUGCAUCUUAUUUGGCAUUGGUUUGCUCCUUUUAUUCAAGAAACUAUUUUUAUCAGUAGUCUUAAAAUACUUGCAAAUUGCUUUAGGUCUCGAGUAAUGGCUUGUUGCUAUGAGCUAUGUAUUCAUUGCAUUGCUGAAACUAUUUUGAUUACAGUUUAGCUGUAGUUUUUUCAUGAUUUGAUGGGUGCAACUUGUAGUGGUUCUACGUACCUGCUAUUGCAAGCAGUUUCAAAUGAUUUGUUUUUUUCUUGUAUAAUAUCUAUAAAUUAUUCUCUUACUAUUUUAUAGAAAUGGCGUUUGAAAAGAUCUUUUGAAUUGCUGCAUUUUAAUAGAUCGUUGCUGUAUUUUUUUUUUCCUGACAAUUGGUUCAAUAUUGCUGCAGAUAUCUGAAGUGGUUAAUAGUAUGAAAGACUUGAUUGAUUACAGCCGAGAAACAGGGAAUGGGCCAAUGGAGAGCUUGGCCAAGUUCCCUCGGAGGACAAGUGCUUCAUCUGUGUUUCAUAGUCAAGCUCAACAGUCUGAGGAACGGCUACAACAGCAGCAAACAAUGCCCCAGAACUCAAACAGUGAUCAAAUUUCUGCACAUGUUGAUGGAAUGCAGAUUGCUGCUAGCAAUGGCGUGUCUAGUGUAAAUAACUCCCUCGGUAUGACAUCUGUGUCUACUUCUGCCAGUGCUAUUGCUGGGAUUCUCCACCAGAAUUCUAUGAAUUCAAGACAACAAAGUUCUAUGAAUAAUGCAAGCAGUCCCUAUGGAGGCAAUUCUGUUCAGAUUCCAUCUCCUGGUUCCUCUAGCACAAUUCCACAGUCCCAACCUAAUCCUUCUCCUUUCCAAUCACCAACACCUUCAUCCAAUAAUCCCACGCAAACAUCUCAUUGUGCCUUAACAGCUGCCAAUCACAUUGGCUCUACAAACUCACCAGCAAAUAUUCCGUUGCAACAACAAGCUCUUUCUGGUGAAGCUGACCAUAGUGAUGCUCAAAGCUCUGUUCAGAAAAUCAUGCAUGAAAUGAUGAUGUCCAACCAACUUAAUGGCACAGGUGGUGUGGUUGGGGUUGGUUCUUUGGGGAAUGAAAUGAAAAAUGUUAAUGGGAUUUUGCCAACAGGCAACAAUGCAGUUCUCAACGGGGGAAAUGGCCUGGUGGGGAAUGGAACAGUCAAUAAUUCUGGAAUGGGGGGUGGUGGAUUUGGCACCAUGGGCAGCGGACUUGUGCAGUCUGCUAUGGUUAAUGGAAUUAGAGCUGCAAUGGGUAAUAACACGGUGAUAAAUGGACGUGUGAGUGUACCAUCGAUGGUUCGAGACCAAACCAUGAAUCUUCAACAUGAUUUGGGGAACCAACUGCUUAGUGGGCUAGGAGCAGUUAAUGGAUUUAAUAAUCUUCCGUAUGAUUGGAAACCAUCCCCGUGAAGGCUCUAUCAAUGAUACUGGUGUUUCAGUUCUUGAUUGUAGCUGCUUGUGUAGCAUGAGCGUGGGCAGAAAUUCCUACAGCCCUGUGAAGAUGGUAUUGCAUGGUGGAAUAGUUCAGGGCUAACUUCCCACUUUGUACUAAUUUCAGGAAAAAGUAAAACAUAUAGCAUAGUGUUUUAUCAAUGAAAUGUUAAAUCCUCUUCGAGUUGUUUCUUUUUUCUUCUAAUUGUUCUGAUUUAUGAUUCAAUACAGCCUCUUUUCCCACUAACAGUCUAGGAAUGGGAUUCAGGGGGGAAAUUUGUCUGGUUGAAAGCUCUUUUCCUGUGUAGUUCCGGGCUUCCUGCCACUUACCAGAGUUGUGAAAAUAGCGUAUGUAUUUGCCUCUCUCUCUCUCUCUCUCU